Molecule: non-coding RNA, 3262 nt
Organism: Triticum urartu
Lineage: Eukaryota; Viridiplantae; Streptophyta; Magnoliopsida; Poales; Poaceae
Source: RefSeq, a predicted model, not a curated record
CAAAAACCCUAAAAUAUGUUGCUACAAUUUUUAUUUAUUUAUUUUAUUUCCCGUUCCCGUGAGAUCUAUUUAUUCAAUUUACUAUAAUUUUUAUCUAUCUUUUACCAGGGAGAGAUUGACAACCACUCUUUUACGUCGGGUUGCAAAUAUUUGUUUAUUGUGUGCAUGUGUCGUUCACGUAGUGUUGCGUGGUUCUCCUACUGAUUCAAUAAACUUGGUCUCGUCAUUGAGAAAAAUACCUAUCGUAGUUGUGCUGCAUCAUCCCUUCCUCUUUGAGAAAAUACCGACAUAGUUCAAGCCGUAUUAGCCAGCUCCAGUACGACGAUUGUGUUGGCACCGACAAGAUAGGAAGCAUCUGGGGCGGUCGGCGGCUGGAUGGGUCUAGGCGAGAAGUCAAGGAGGCGGGCGUGAGAGCGAAGGGAGUGCAAAAGUAAAGAGAAGAGGUUUCCAUCCGCACUGGGUGAUGUUGACGCGGACGAGUCCAACAUGGCAGCGAACAUGCAUACAACCGGACUCCAACAAGUCGACCCACGGUUUGGAGAAAUGGGGCAUCGGCUUGACGUGUUGGGUUAGUUUUCCAGCCCAGUUGUGGAUGCAAAGAGACAAACGAACAUGUGCGAGCAUUUUAUGGCUGCCCCUUGGGAGAUGCCCUAAUGAGUUAAAUUUGAGAAGGAUAUAGAUCAGUAAUUCGCGUAUGAGUCGAGGCUACUUACCUACACCCGGUGAACAGUUAAUUCUUAGAAAAAAAAGUAAAACAAUAUGUUUUUUUCUACAUCAAAGAUGCUCAAAUGCUCAAGGAUGAUGAAAUAAUUUCGUGGUGUUUAAACAUUCGAGGAGCUCUAAGAAAAAAAAUUGACCCAAACAUUGUACUUUUUUGAAGUUUUUUUACUACCAAAUUUUGUUGUUUUUAACACAACCUCCUCGAAUGUCCAAACACCACUAACUUUUGCACAUACAUCACACAUUCAAGCAUUUUGGAUGAGAAAAAAAAAUAGGUUUUAAAAUUCAGAUUUGUUUGAUUUUUUUUUCCAUUUUAAAUGAAUUUAUUGUUCACUUCCAAUGCACCCAGGCACCGAAUCGUUGCACUUAGAUAUAGAUGCUCUACAUAGGCAAGGGCAUGUUCUUCUGAUCAUAUCAUCGUACUCAGCGUACCACAUCGUCAAUGGAGUUGGCAAAGUAUGACUAAGAGCAUCUCCAAAAGCUGCCCUAUUUUAAGACGUCAAAAGUUGAUGGAGUAAAAAGUUUGGACACGAGAACUGGUAUUUUAGGCACGAGCAAAUGUGGUCUCCAACAGCAGCUCUAUAAUAGAGCACGACUGCUCCAAGGCUGCACCAUAUCUUUAUUUUAGACAUAUCAUCAAACUGUUGCAGUGCACAAUUACAACACCUCUCAGUAGCCCUUGCCAGGAAACGAUGCAAAAAAGAAUCGAUUAAUUCGGGAGAAGUUUCUCCCUAAUAAUAAUAAAGCACGGAUUAAGUUUCUGGAUUCACCGUCGUGGCGCUCUUGUAAAAAAGUCCCUGAUGAAUUACGUGUUGAACGCGCAGUCCUAUUUUAAGUUUGUAGAGAAAACGUUUCGUGGAUCGACUUGGGCCUUACGAGCGAACAGAAAAACAUAGGCACACACGAGCACGAGGGCUCGCCUUCGAUGCGUACGGGUACGCCGCUGCCGCCGCCGCUGCCGCACGCCGCCUCUGCGGCCAUCCGCCGCCGCUGCCGCGCGCGGCCUCUCUGCCACCCGUCGCCCCGUUCUCCUUCCCCUCCCCAUCCGUCCCAAUCUUCUCCGGCGCCACCUGAAGCCCCCUCAACCUGCAACCUCCUGCCAUCGAGCCCUUCUAAUCUCGCUGGACCAUGGACUUAACCGGAACGCCGUCCUGCUAGCCGUGCCCACUUGAGCGAGGAGAGAGUGGUGAGGCGGCUUAGUGAGGCUCAGGACGGCGUCUCGCAUGUAAGUACGCCACUCCUGCGUCUCUAUGCUAAUCCGAGUGCAGUACUCUACACAAUGCUCUACUUCUUCCUAAAAAAUAUCUGUUGAAUGCCCCAUGACUGGUUUGCACUUCUGGUGUUCGACAGUAUGCCUAAGCAGUGACCGCAUCCACGAUGUUAUUCAGUUCUUUGUCUCAUGUAAGAGUAUUAUGAUAUAUGAGAUGCUUGAAUGAAGGGAUCCUUGAUUAAUUUGUCCACAAGUAGCCCAAGGAUUUGGGAGUUUAGGGUUUGUUAUGAGUAGUUAGCUGCCUGUGAUGUGUGCCCAAACAAAUUGUCAUGUAAAUCAUUAUGAACACUUGAUUUUCUUGUGGCGCCAUCCAAGUGGGCGGAGGCAGCGGCUGCCACCACGGUGUCAUCCUUCUCCCACACCUUCGUCGCGGGACCGGAUUCACAAUGACGCCAUCGCAUCUAGCGACGACGCAAGCUCAUGUGGGUGCCGCAACUUCCAAGGACAUGGGAGUCUCCAUGGGCAGCGAGUACGUGAGCACACUCACACACCACAGCUCUCAAGGAUGCGGGAGCCACCUCAGCCCGCGAGGACUCGUGAACCAUGCUCAGGUGAAGAUAUUAUUGUUAUGCUGAUCAUGGAGGAUGGAUAUUUCUUUGAGCUUCUAUUGUCGAUAGGGACGCUGUAGUGAGAUUUCUAUCGAACUGAAGAUAUUGAAGUUGAAGGUUGGCACUCGUGGGGCUUGCUUGUAUGAGCACUGUUAGGUAUGUGGUGUCAACAAGUUACCCUUAGAAGUAUACUAAACUUAUGUACGCAAAUAUCACUAGCUUUUGCACGCACGUGGGUGCUAAUUCUUCCUUGGAUUUUUCGAACACAAAUAGCACUACCUUUCAUUUCACACACCAGGGUGCUAAUUCUUCAAAGUAUAAUUCUAUAAAAUAUGAAUUUAAAUUUAGGUAGGUCUAUCUUACAUAUGCAAACUCAUCUCAGGCAUUUUCCUUUAGCUACACAAUUUAGUCAAGUUCUCUUUUUGUAUUACCAUUCAGCAAACCUCUAUAUUUAAUUACUCGCCUAACCAAGAGAAUGAGUUACUAUUUAGUUUCUUCUGAUCUGCUCUGUUGCAAAUUAGGCAAUCUUACACACUAGCUCGAAAUGAUAUUCUUUAAUGUUCAUAAGAAUAAUAAUUGUAAUACGACACCAAUUUGGACAUAAAUGUGAAGUUAGUGUAGAAAAUUUUAUAUAGAGAAAAUCACGGUUUUUUAUUAUUAUACAGGGAAACCAUAAAUCAAGAACCACCUCUGACACCCCCCCCCCCCCCCCCCCCCCCCCCCC